RNAcentral lists this transfer RNA (67 nucleotides) under Ictidomys tridecemlineatus (thirteen-lined ground squirrel). RNAcentral's name for it is "Spermophilus tridecemlineatus (thirteen-lined ground squirrel) tRNA". It matches the Rfam family "tRNA". From Rfam's summary of the family: Transfer RNA (tRNA) molecules are approximately 80 nucleotides in length. Their secondary structure includes four short double-helical elements and three loops (D, anti-codon, and T loops). The record is from Rfam by way of RNAcentral. Lineage: Eukaryota; Metazoa; Chordata; Mammalia; Rodentia; Sciuridae.
GGGGCUGUAGCUCAGCGGUAGAGCAUUUGCCUAAUGUGUGAAUCCUUGGGUUCGAGACCCAGCGCCA